UAAAUAUUCCCACAACAUUGGGUCUUUACAAGCGUAGACACAAAUAGAGCUAUUAUUCAUGUCUGUUAUGGUGCUUUGAAAACUUGGGACGCUUGCGGAUUUGAACAUAACGAUUUGGACAUGUACACCCUAAUGUAGACUCAGGUGUCAACACAACGCUGUUGCUGAAAAAGCUUUCCGUCAGAAGUGUCUCUCACCAUGACAGAAUUAUCUUACUGGAGAUCACUGUCGCCACGGCCCCUCAAAAUCCAUUUGGAUAGAAGUCUAGACGAGAGGGCAAAACUCAUGACUCAACUUCAAAGGACGGCGAAUGGUGAAACAAACAAGCCCACAUCACAUCAUUCUCAAAGCUACACUCAAUGCGUCUCAACUUGUAAAAAGGAAGCACUGAGACCAGCAGAGCAUCUUUGUUUGCAACUCACUG
This is a long non-coding RNA of Triplophysa dalaica, 424 nucleotides long. RefSeq lists it as uncharacterized. The transcript has 3 exons. The record is from RefSeq and is a predicted model, not a curated record. Lineage: Eukaryota; Metazoa; Chordata; Actinopteri; Cypriniformes; Nemacheilidae.